This 429-nucleotide ribosomal RNA is filed under the name bacterium. RNAcentral describes it as "partial 16S ribosomal RNA". It matches the Rfam family "Bacterial small subunit ribosomal RNA", at positions 355 to 776 of the family's 1533-position model. The record is from RNAcentral.
UAGGGAAUCUUCCACAAUGGACGCAAGUCUGAUGGAGCAACGCCGCGUGAGUGAAGAAGGUUUUCGGAUCGUAAAGCUCUGUUGUUGGUGAAGAAGGAUAGAGGCAGUAACUGGUCUUUAUUUGACGGUAAUCAACCAGAAGGUCACGGCUAACUACGUGCCAGCAGCCGCGUUAAUCCGUAGGUGGCAAGCGUUGUCCGGAUUUAUUGGGCGUAAAGCGAGCGCAGGCGGAAUGAUAAGUCUGAUGUGAAAGCCCACGGCUCAACCGUGGAACUGCAUUGGAAACUGUCAUUCUUGAGUGCAGAAGAGGAGAGUGGAAUUCCAUGUGUAGCGGUGGAAUGCGUAGAUAUAUGGAAGAACACCAGUGGCGAAGGCGGCUCUCUGGUCUGCAACUGACGCUGAGGCUCGAAAGCAUGGGUAGCGAACAGG